GUGCUCGCUUCGGCAGCACAUAUACUAAAAUAGGAAAGAUACAAAGAAGAUUAGCAUGGCCCCUGCACAAGGAUGACGCGCAAGUUCAUGAAGCGUUCCACAGUUUU
Small nuclear RNA from Catagonus wagneri (Chacoan peccary), 107 nucleotides. NCBI's taxonomy places the organism in Eukaryota, Metazoa, Chordata, Mammalia, Artiodactyla, Tayassuidae. The record is from Ensembl.